UUGGUUCAGAUAAAGGCCAAUCAGACUUUUGGGGAAGCUCAUUGGUGCUUUCCUGAAGUUUCCAGCGCUCAGGGAGGACGGGAGAAUGCGGAAUGCCCGGCCAAUCUGAUCGCCGAUUGGCUGCUGUUUCCGCCAUUCAUUUCAGUUUAUGCGCCUGUCACUGCCACGUCACCCCCUCCCAUCGCUCUUCUCAUCAUCCUUUUCCGCCCUCAUGGAUUGGUGGUUGGUAUCAGCUGCUCCACCUUUUCUACCAUUUACUGAACGAGUUGAGGAAAAAGGGAAGGAGUCUCGUCUUUACAUCCUUAUUUUCUUUUUUUAUUGGUUGGCACCUAUGCCACUCACGUGGUGGAGAGGCGGGGCAAUAGUUGGAGAUGAUUGGUUCUGAGAAUUGGCUGUGAAAGCGGCAUUGCUGACCAGUGAGAGAGACCUAAUGAGGAGCAGGCCGGGGCAACCAAUGAAAUCGGAGAAGAGCGCUUGGGGGCGUGUCCGCCUGCUUUCAGCCUUUGGCAAGUUGGUGGGAGCUAAAAUCAGUCAUCUUCCUGCGAAGGCAUGAGGAGGAAAAGAGAGGAAGUAACUGAGCGAUAAUAUGCUGUAUGAGCCUCCUGCUCUGCUGCCCAUUACCUGCGUCACCUCCACAAGCUACUGAACCUCAAGGAACCCAUCUCCUCAUCAGGAAAAAAAAUAAGCUUUAUGUAG
Homo sapiens (human) is the source of this 696-nucleotide long non-coding RNA. RefSeq lists it as uncharacterized. The transcript has 3 exons. Lineage: Eukaryota; Metazoa; Chordata; Mammalia; Primates; Hominidae. The record is from RefSeq and is a predicted model, not a curated record.